Molecule: transfer RNA, 65 nt
Filed under: Cavia porcellus (domestic guinea pig)
Lineage: Eukaryota; Metazoa; Chordata; Mammalia; Rodentia; Caviidae
Rfam family: tRNA
About the family: Transfer RNA (tRNA) molecules are approximately 80 nucleotides in length. Their secondary structure includes four short double-helical elements and three loops (D, anti-codon, and T loops). Further hydrogen bonds mediate the characteristic L-shaped molecular structure. tRNAs have two regions of fundamental functional importance: the anti-codon, which is responsible for specific mRNA codon recognition, and the 3' end, to which the tRNAs corresponding amino acid is attached (by aminoacyl-tRNA synthetases). tRNAs cope with the degeneracy of the genetic code in two manners: having more than one tRNA (with a specific anti-codon) for a particular amino acid; and 'wobble' base-pairing, i.e. permitting non-standard base-pairing at the 3rd anti-codon position.
Source: Rfam by way of RNAcentral
GGGGAUUUAGCUCAGCGGCAUAAAGCAUCUGUCUUGCAAGCAGGCAGUCAUGAGUUCAAUCCCUG